Molecule: ribosomal RNA, 201 nt
Filed under: uncultured bacterium
Lineage: Bacteria
Description: partial 16S ribosomal RNA
Rfam family: Bacterial small subunit ribosomal RNA
Source: RNAcentral
UACUCCUACGGGAGGCAGCAGUGGGGAAUAUUGGACAAUGGGUGAGAGCCUGAUCCAGCCAUGCCGCGUGAGUGAAGAAGGCCUUAGGGUUGUAAAGCUCUUUCAACGGUGAAGAUAAUGACGGUAACCGUAUAAGAAGCCCCGGCUAACUUCGUGCCAGCAGCCGCGGUAGCGGUAAUACGAAGGGGGCUAGCGUUGUUC